Molecule: ribosomal RNA, 253 nt
Filed under: uncultured bacterium
Lineage: Bacteria
Description: partial 16S ribosomal RNA
Rfam family: Bacterial small subunit ribosomal RNA
Source: RNAcentral
UACGUAGGGUGCAAGCGUUAAUCGGAAUUACUGGGCGUAAAGCGUGCGCAGGCGGUUAUUCAAGACAGAUGUGAAAUCCCCGGGCUCAACCUGGGAACUGCAUUUGUGACUGCAUGGCUAGAGUGCGGCAGAGGGGGAUGGAAUUCCGCGUGUAGCAGUGAAAUGCGUAGAUAUGCGGAGGAACACCGAUGGCGAAGGCAAUCCCCUGGGCCUGCACUGACGCUCAUGCACGAAAGCGUGGGGAGCAAACAGG